GGCCACUGGUAGCCGUAGCCAAAUCUGCCACCAGACCCACCCAGCUUGGGCUGCCUGGCAGGCAGAGGUGGGUCAGCACCCUCUCUGGACACCAGUGACUCCUGAGAGCCUGCAGCUCUGGAUGCCUCUGUCGGACCUAGAGCUGAAGAUGAAAUUGGCCUGAGGAAGAUUGAUGGUGGCCAACAUCAGGCUACUGAGGCCUAAGGCCCGCGAUUACGAUUCGGGCCAACUGUAGCUAUUUCUUUGAGGCCAACAUAUGUGAGAAGAGAAACAAAAUCAACACAUAUAUCUAUUACCUACUAUCUUAGCUGCUAGGCACUGUAGGGAGAAACCCAGACCUAUUAGCCUUCACCUGCAAGUGGUUUAUAUAUUUGGGGUGAUGAAAUAUAUAGAGAUAGACACGGAGACAUGAGAUGCACAGGUUAAAUAGUAUGAAUCAGUUUCAAUGCCUGUUCUAGGCUAGAGAGAAGAGGGUUACAAGGUGGUCCAUAAUUACCAGGCUGGGACGAGUGCAGUUAAUGAGUCCUGCAGGCUUUGGGAGGAGGGCUCUGGAGGCCCUGACUGCAGGACAACUAGUCUGGGAGCAACGUGCAUCGAGGGAGACCACUUGGAGGCAUUCACAAGAAACCAGGCAGACAUCAGGUCGCAGUGCUGGAGUGUUAAGAGGAAAACUAGAAACCAACAGCAAGAGGAGCUAGAAAACUAGAGAAGCAACAGUGAGGAGCCAGAGGGCUGCACUUCCUUUCUCAAGACCCAGAAACAACGGAGCGAGACCCAGAUUCCUGGAUCCACUGUUCCGGCUAUGGAGCACUCCUGGAAAACUUCCGGAUACGACGCUCUUCUUUUAGAAAGGCCUCUACGGGUCGGAGAUUUAGCUCCGUGGCACCGCGCCUGCCUGGCAAGCUCAAAUUCCCGAGUUCGAUCCCUGGUACCAAAAAAAAAAAAAAAAAAAAAGAGCCUUUAAGACCCUUACACGAAUCUCCAAAGCCCUGUUAGGAUCUCCGCCUUUCAGGCUAAGGACUCCAAGUGCAAAUAACCUGCUUUUGCUCCCGUUGCCAGGGUAACAGCCACAAAGUCAAUUCGGCCACCGUAACUGUUCCCAGAAUGCCGCGCGCCUUCACGCUCUUCCAAGGUCCGACUCCUUCCAGAGACCCGUGUCAGUUGGUCUCGCGAGGGUUGCUGGCAGGAUGUUAGAAUUGGCAGACUUGAGCAUAUUUUUGGGAAGGACAGUAAGGACUGUUCCCCACCCCCCCCAACUUUGCAAGCAAUUAGAAGGCUAAGGAAAGGGCAUAAUCUCACGGAAUUUUUGUUGAUUCUUAAUCAGUGGAUUAGAUGUUAUUAGAAAAAUGGAAAGGUGAUGUAUAUUUUAAGUAACCUGAGUUAGCCAUUCCACAAUGUAUACAUAUUUUAAAACAUGUUGUAGAUCAUAAAUAUAUAUUUUAUUUGUAAAAAAAUAAAAUAGCGUUUAAAGUUAAAAAGCUGAGCCCAGCGUGUUGAUAUACACCUGUAAUCCCCAGACUCGG
RNAcentral lists this long non-coding RNA (1523 nucleotides) under Heterocephalus glaber (naked mole-rat). RNAcentral's name for it is "lncRNA (ENSHGLG00100040924.1)". The record is from RNAcentral. Lineage: Eukaryota; Metazoa; Chordata; Mammalia; Rodentia; Bathyergidae.